AGAGUUUGAUCCUGGCUCAGAUUGAACGCUGGCGGCAUGCCUUACACAUGCAAGUCGAACGGCAGCACGGGGGUAACCCUGGUGGCGAGUGGCGAACGGGUGAGUAAUACAUCGGAACGUGUCCUGUAGUGGGGGAUAGCCCGGCGAAAGCCGGAUUAAUACCGCAUACGAUCUACGGAAGAAAGCGGGGGAUCCUUCGGGACCUCGCGCUAUAGGGGCGGCCGAUGGCAGAUUAGCUAGUUGGUGGGGUAAAGGCCUACCAAGGCGACGAUCUGUAGCUGGUCUGAGAGGACGACCAGCCACACUGGGACUGAGACACGGCCCAGACUCCUACGGGAGGCAGCAGUGGGGAAUUUUGGACAAUGGGGGAAACCCUGAUCCAGCAAUGCCGCGUGUGUGAAGAAGGCCUUCGGGUUGUAAAGCACUUUUGUCCGGAAAGA
RNAcentral lists this ribosomal RNA (440 nucleotides) under uncultured bacterium. RNAcentral's name for it is "bacterial SSU rRNA". It matches the Rfam family "Bacterial small subunit ribosomal RNA", at positions 8 to 448 of the family's 1533-position model. The record is from RNAcentral.